GGUGGUUCAGUGGUAGAAUUCUCACCUUCUAUACUAGAGACCUGGGUUCGAUUCCCAGCC
This 60-nucleotide transfer RNA is filed under the name Loxodonta africana (African savanna elephant). It matches the Rfam family "tRNA", at positions 6 to 65 of the family's 71-position model. From Rfam's summary of the family: Transfer RNA (tRNA) molecules are approximately 80 nucleotides in length. Their secondary structure includes four short double-helical elements and three loops (D, anti-codon, and T loops). Further hydrogen bonds mediate the characteristic L-shaped molecular structure. tRNAs have two regions of fundamental functional importance: the anti-codon, which is responsible for specific mRNA codon recognition, and the 3' end, to which the tRNAs corresponding amino acid is attached (by aminoacyl-tRNA synthetases). tRNAs cope with the degeneracy of the genetic code in two manners: having more than one tRNA (with a specific anti-codon) for a particular amino acid; and 'wobble' base-pairing, i.e. permitting non-standard base-pairing at the 3rd anti-codon position. The record is from Rfam by way of RNAcentral. Lineage: Eukaryota; Metazoa; Chordata; Mammalia; Proboscidea; Elephantidae.